AUGUCAGGCUCCAGGGAAGAAAGGCCAGUGCAAGCUAAUACCAUGCUACCAAGAUAUUGCAAGAUCAAGUCCAAGCAGCAUGUACCUGAAAGGAACAACUUACCUCCAAAUAAUCACUGCUUGCUCCUGCUUCAAACCAUUCUGCUCUCAGCAGAAGCACAUGCUGGUUUUGUAAGCCCUGUUUCCAGUGGGAUGGCACGUUAUGUGAAGAGAGCACCACAACCACGUAGUGUGAUCUCUGGGGUAAUACAAACCAAGGAACGUGACAGUGAUUCCUCAUUCAAGUCAAGAGUGCGUGUUCAGAAUACAUCUGCUGGAAAGCCAAGCAAUGUCAAAGACAACAAGAGACAGACAAGCUGCUGCAGCCCUCGGUGCGUGCACAGUCAAGCAGUAUGCAGCAGUUCAUUUCAGAUGCACACAGUAUAUUUUCAGCACUAUUACCUGCUUUGUCUAAUUAGUGUUUUUCCUAAUUUCAUAACCGGCACUAACCAUGUGGUAAUAAUUACUUAGGAAGAAGCUUGUCAUAGCCAGGGGAGAGAGAAGGCAUUUUGCUUUAAAAUCUCCAAAUUGGAGAUUCAUUAAUAGAAAUUAUAGCAUGCACACUAUGCAAAAAUACACAGAAUUAUCUCAAAAUGAGUAGUCAGCAAAGGGCAGGUAGACUAUGCUGAUGUCUCUGGAUGAUACGUAUGUUUUGCUGCCUUAGCUAUUCUCAGCACUUGCUUUUGUCAAAAAAAUAAAUGAUGCUUUCUGAAGAAUUCACAGGCAAUCUAGUGCUUGUUGCAGACUUACAACUGAGAAUUUAAGGUAUUUUUCUUCAGACUAGAAUACAGGCAGAGCUUAAUCCUCGCACAUGUCUUAUCUGGGAAGCACUGAUAUUAUAUAAACAUCUGAGAUUUAAGAUGACGAAUUUUUGCAAAAACAUAUCUGCAAUUGACAAUAAAAAUGGAUUAUAUUUCUCUGUAAAAACUUGCAUAAAAAACUGUGCCAGUAAACGAAGGAUGCCUGUUCUCCAUACUUGUUUGCAUUAGGUCAUCCUUUCUGUGAUCAAAUGCUUUUCAAACAUUUUGUAAGGGACAACCAAUUUUAGAUGGUUUCCUGGCAAGACUAAAUUUCACUCUUCUGUGAUAGAUAAUCUUAACAUCAAGUCAGCCUUCUUCUAAAACAAACAAGCAAGCAGUCAGCUGUACAAGGGUCCAAUCUAAUUUAACAUUGCUGGAGCAUCCCUUCUCUCAAAGCUACCCUGCCAAGCUCUGUUCCCUACUGAUGGAAGGGGCUGGGCUCUCCAGGUGCCAGCAGCAUGAAAUAAUAGAACUAUAUAACUACUCCAGCGUGGAGUGUGACAUCAGAUCUAUCACUGCAAGCCAGAAAAUCCAUCAAAUUGUGACUUUGUUCCCUCAAACACUCAUUUACUACACAUCACUGAGCUGCUUAUUUAGUAUUUAUGCAAACUCAUCAUGAUGUUAUGCUAGGCCUAAGAAGCAAUAAGGGCAAAGACAAGUUAUAUCUAAGGAGGCUAAACAGAAUCCUAAGUACAUAAAGGAACAUUUGUUUCUACUUCGGACAUAAGACCAACUUUAGCUUACAGCUCCUUUUGAGAGUCACCAGGAGUGAUACUUCUGAAAGUCUUCAUAAACCUAUGCUGACACAUACAGCUCCAGGACUAAUCUUUGCACAACAAAAAGAACUGGUAAGGUACUGCAGGGAGCAGUGCUGUGCAGCUCAGCAGGGGCACAAGCAGCUGGAUACAGUUGGAAGCAGAUGGGUGCUGCUAGCUCCCUUCAGAGCGUUUCCAUUGAUCAAAAGCAGCUGGAUACAGAGCAGCUCAGAUGUACUUGGGCUGUUUUACAGAGGACAAGAGAAAACAAAGGAAAGCCCUUUCCUUUUGUGUUUCUCUCAGUUCCCUUAAGGAAGAUUUUCAAGAUGUAACCAAAUGCAGUCACCUAACUGCAGUUUCUCAAUUGCAGUUUCCUCUCCAGCACAGUUUCUAAAUUGGAAGCACAGUACAAACCCAACUGCCUUCCAAAUUGGUCUGUGUGGCACAGCAAUCAAACCCCUCAGAUGCCACACUGCUGAUCAACCCAGCCCUUACACUGUGGGCUCCGCUCGUAGGAAAGUCACAAAGGCCAUAAUUAUUUCAGCUCAAGCUGUUUAUGAUGCCAGAGGAUUGGAUCAGAAUUUGUGUUAUUUGAUCAUUUGGUUUUGAUCAGAAUUCACUUUGGGGAAGGCAAAAGAUAAAAGAAAGGAAAUUCACUUUGAUCAGAAGUUAUUUUGCAUAAUCUUGAUUACAGAACUUCAUCACUAUUUACAAACUACAGCAGUGGUAUCUGGCUUACACUUUACCAUCCUAAGUAAUUGAUAUAUCAAAUAAGCAUAAAAAUAAAAUCCCUUUAAUGCUUGAAAUUUUAGAGGUGUUUGAGAUACAGACAAUGUUUAUUAACAAUUUCUCCCUUAGAAUUAUUACAUUAAUUUUAUUACUCCUGUCAUGCUCUGUCUGUUUAAUUGGAUAAUAACUGCAGAAACAUUGCUGCCAUGUAAAUAUGUACAAGCACCUAACAGUGUUUAUGCUAAGGAUUCCAUAUGCUUUCCUGGGAACACGAUAUUUUGAGUGUGCAGCAAAGGGUGACAAGUUGCUUCAUAAGCUGAUCUGAAAGGAAAGAGCAGAACAGAAAGUGAAUAAAUCCUGAUAUCUGAUCAUUGCAUUGAAAUACUGCUGCUAAUAACACGAGUGAGCAUUAAAAGUUGACCACAAAAUAGUAUAGGGCUUGCUUUAAUAGCAUGAGGCCUUCUCCCGACUACUCCUACUGUCACUAGCCAUACUCUUUUUCUUUCUUUCCUUGUGUUUGCUAGAUCAAUGUAGUAGUGAAAAAGAGGGAUGAAUUAUCUGAGUACAGAGAGCAAUAACUUCAGCUUUCCCCUUCUCACACUGUGCCUAUAUUUAUGCCACAACACAACAGGUUCCCAGGUCAUGUGUCAGUCAAGAAAAGCACAGCUUUGUUGCUUCCUAACCCGGCAGAAUUCGCACACAAACAGGACCGCAGCCUUCAGUCAAGCUGCUUUGCACAGGCUCAACUUGAAGGCAGCCCAAUUUCUCAACAACUUCAUUGAUUUCUGGAGUUUGUCUCCAAGAGCAGCUUAUAAACAUUUCUUUUAUGGACGUGUCCUAGUGGAGGAUCUGCAAUAUAUCAGUGUUGUUGAUCUCUGAAAACAGCAGGUGAGAUGGUGUCAGCACUUGCCAGGACAGCACUUGGUUUGACAUCCAUUUUAAAGUUAAGCACCGUCUGAGAGCAAUAUCAUCUGAAGCUCUCAUAAAGGAGUUAUCAGAUUCUCACUUUUUGUAACUCAGCUUGACUUGCUUCAAUAGGGCUGUGCAAGUAUAAAUAUUUUCAUUACAACGUAUUAACAAAUUCAAAGAAAUGGUGCCUUUUCACUGCAAGAUUAUGAGGUAGCACAAAAUUAAGAAGUAUUUGCUUGAAGCCCUUCAGCACACAACAAAAAAUGUGCUGCUGAACUCUUUACCCGUCAAAGUGUCCAGUUCAAAUCUAACAUAUAAGAAGGAAAUAUAUUGGCACUAUCAGGCGGUGUUUGAGAUUUGGGCUGUUCAAAGCAGUUAAGCUCUUCAUAAAAGAACCACUGACAACUCAUGAUGUCAUUUUGCAGGGCUCCACUCAAUGUCUGUACAUAAGUCCUUAAUACAAAAUGGGAAAAUGUACAUUUUCCCCCCUAAAUUUAGUUACUCAUCUCUCAAUUUCCUUUCCCAGUGACAUCAUUCUUAGCAGAUACAGAAGUAUUGCUGCACAGUUCCAUAGUCGUCAUCUUAAGGUGCUGUGCAUGCUUGGGAAUUUUCCAUAAAAACAGGUCAGUGCAUUUUCAAAUUCCCUUAACUUUAUUUUUGGAUUUAAGAGGAUAUGAGGAAUAGGCGUAAGUGAAGAGAGCUUUGUAGAAAUGGUAUUUUUUAUUAGAUCAGCUGAUAAAGCAUGAAAAAACAAGCAUGCUUUUGGACAUAGGGUAUCUUCUUCAGCAAAAUCUAACUCAACACAGGCAAUUUCAGUUAAAUAUUAUUAUAUUGAUGGCAAUGCUAUUACAAAAUGGUUGCAGAACUGGGAAGCCAAGUAAGAAGAGAAGGUGAAGGUCUCUUCACUUAAUUUGGAAUUCCAAUAUUCCACAUGAAGCCAAAUGAAAUGUCUCAAUCACAAUUAUGGGAAAAAGAGCACAGGAUUUAUUCUGACCCAUUCUUCCUCCCCUCAGGUGCUCAUCCCUGCUCGUCAGUCUGGCUCUGGCUGCUGCUUCUAGUUUUAACCCCGACAAAACCAAUAAUUACUCUGAUGCUGUUGUACAACCAUAGAGAUACUACUGGCAGAACUGUUCUACUCUUACUAGACGUGUAAAAGAAACAGUGAAAUACCAUCAUUUUUAUAGUCCUGUUCCUCUCUCAGAAAUGUGGGAGAUGUCCAAGUAUGGACAGUUAGUGUGACUGCAACAGACUGAGAAAGAAAGUGCAAUGAAUGAGAGGCUAUUGUGUAGCUUCACCAUUUCAAGAUCUAAUGGUAACAGAGCACCUGCACUGAAAAUGAAGACGAGGGGAGGGAACCAAACAAGGCCAGGAGAAAUUGCUGAGGCCAGUAGGGAAGAGGUUGGGGAGCAAUAAAGACAAACUUCCUCAGUGCUGAGAUGACUAAGAAAAACUUAAAAAUUGAUGAGACUAUAGAAAAUACCAGCCUGCAAUCCCAUUAGCAAAUAAAGACCAGCCUCCACUGUGAUUCCUGGCAAUGCCACCAACAGCUUACUAUUAGAUUUUUCCACAAGCAAUACAAGAACUGCACAAAUAAGCAAAACUCUACUUUUUUUUCUUAUAAACAGCAGAAAAACAAGUCAGCAGUGUCAGUCAAAAUUAUCCUAAUUAAUUUACAGUUAACUUCUGAACAACCAGGUAUUUAUUAGAUGAACUGCAAACAAGUUACAUGCAGCAUUAGUUAUUGCAUCAGUGCAAUGUUUCUUCUCAUCUGCAUCAAGUACAAGACUUGGCUUUUUUAAUUGAGUGUUCCUAAAAGCAGGACUACAAAAGCAGCUCUUAUAUGAUGAAAGGCUGAAGGUUUUGCAACAUCUCUCAGAAAGAUCACUAUAAGCACACAAAACUAUAGAAAAUAAAAAGAUACUGUUGGUAGAAGGUCCAACAGAGCAUCAAAGCUGACAUUGCUUGAACAGCGUGGGAGGAACGUAGAAAGUACUGAGAAUGACACUGUUCUAUUUUCUUCCCAGGCUUCAGCUUCCAAUGUUCAUUAAUAGAAAAUAUUUCUAUUCAGUAUUCAUUAAGCAGAAAAUGAAUGGGGAGAAAUGGUCUGGCUGGUUUUAUUCCUAUCUCUG
Meleagris gallopavo (turkey) is the source of this 5361-nucleotide long non-coding RNA. Lineage: Eukaryota; Metazoa; Chordata; Aves; Galliformes; Phasianidae. The record is from Ensembl.